CAUGGUUCCGGUUGAAUGAAGGCACA
RNAcentral lists this non-coding RNA (26 nucleotides) under Cricetulus griseus (Chinese hamster). Lineage: Eukaryota; Metazoa; Chordata; Mammalia; Rodentia; Cricetidae. The record is from RNAcentral.